AACUGCGAGCGCUGCGGCGCCCUUACCCAGAGUGCUCUGCGCCGUGUCGGCAGUGCUCAUCCAAUGAAAGCGCAGGAGACGGGCGAUUCGCGUUCGGAGCGAAAGAGAGGGGGCAGGACUUCCGGCGAGGCCGUCGUGCUGGCCGUUUGCGGGCUGGUUAGAUGUUCUAGAGCGCAAAGCCAGGUCAGAGGCAACAGGAAGUGGACGGAUCGAGAGGCGCCAUCGUCAGUCCUUUGCAGAGGUGGAUUUGAGGCUCUGAGGCUCAUGGCGACCUAGCGUUGGGGCUGGGAUGGAGGUGGAGGUGCUGUGGGUUGCGGUUCGCGGCUCAGAUCACGGUGCCUUCGCCGACGGACCCUGCAGAAAUCGGUGUUGCGACCUCUGGGCCCCCACCCUGGCCCCUCACACACACAACACAAUCUUGUUUUCAAAUCCUAAAGCCCUAAGUUAUGGGAGUUCAGGGCCCUGCAGGCUAGGCCCUAGUGUCUAGCACGGGAGUGGGGGUGCGUGUAGAUUUUGCCCCCAUUUCUGAAAGCCAGUGUAAUGAGGCACGGAAGGGUGUUACAACCGGAAAGAUUAGCGUGUGCAAAGGCUGGAGGAGCCCCCAAUCUGGGAGCAUUCCUGAAAGCCUGGGUCCACGUGUGUCCUCAUGGGUCAGGGUGUGAAGAGAAAUGACGCCUGGAAUGGCAGAACAAGGCCGUGUACGUCCUGAUGGUGUGGGGUUGUGAACAAAGGAGGGACACGGGCUGAGGUAGGGCUGCAAGAGGAGAGAGCAGAUCAACACCCCGGGGCCACUGAGUCCUUGUCAGAGUCACAAAGCAAAUAAGAGGCAGCACUGGGGGCUGGAGUGCAGAGGUCAUGCUGUCACUCCAUGGUCACCUGCUUCCAGGUCUGGCCACGGGUACAGGAGACGGCAGAGCCCGUGGAACCCGUCUCUUCCUGCUUCUCAUAGCCUUUCUCUUCCUGCAGGUUCCUAUGGCCACGGAAGUGCAUACGCCCCCUACGCAGCCGGAGUAUAUGACCUUUGAGGAUGUGGCCGUGUACUUCUCGUGGGACGAAUGGGACCUCCUUGAUGAAGGUCAGAAACUCCUGUACUGCGACGUGAUGCUGGAGAACCUCGCGCUCAUGACCUCUCUGGGUAAGGCCCUCACGUCUGCCCCAGUGCCUUGGGUGAGGCGUUGCCUUUGCUCUCUUCCCCAGACACAGCUGCAGCCUCACAUGGGGACCCUAGGGACUGCCCCAAUUUUCUUUUUCUUUAUUUUGAGCAGGGUGAUAGAUGUAGGCUCACUGUUUUCUAGGACAGAGCUAUUGUACUGUCCUACCAUUUCCCCAAGCACCCCCAGUAGCUGCUGCCCCAAAACCUUUCAGUGUAGGGGGUCAGGAGUCUUGCAGUUGGAUUUUUGGAUGCCACGUUUCUCUCCCUGGCCAGGUGACCCCUCCAUCCCAGGUUCCACUCCCUUCCUCGAGCUGGCGUAAACACGUCUGCUUGAGUCAAGAAUGGCCAUCAGCAACAUGGUCACUCUUUGUGUCCUUCAAUGAGACUCCCUUUGUAAUAUUUGUUUUAAGAUUUUUUUUAUUUAUUUGAAAGAGUUAAAGAGAGGCAGAGAGAGAGAGAGAGAGAGAGAGAUCUUCCAUCCACUGGUUCACUCCCCAGAUGGCCGCAGUGGCCGGAGCUGGGCCGAUCUGAAGCCAGGAGCUUCUUCCAGGUCUCCCACAAGGUUACAGGGGCACAAGGACCUGGGCCAUCUUCCACUGCAUUCCCAGGCCAUAGCAGGGAGCUAGAUGGGAAGUGGAGCAGCCGGGACUCGAACCAGUGCCCAGAUGGGAUGCCGGCACUGCAGAUGGCCGCUUUACUCACUAUGCCACAGUGCCGGUCCCCCCUUUUCCCACUCUUGACACUUUGUCAGUUUGUCAUUUUUGUGAUUUUUGGCCUGGGGCUAAUCUUGAGCUCCCUUGGUCCCACAUCUCCUCCAUAUCUGCCCACUGCUCCCUCUCACAGUUUCCCCCCGCACGGGCUCACACAUACUGUGCUGUGAGAUGCACACAUAUCCGUAAGGUAUCUUUGAACGUGAGCUCCUGUGUUUGGAAGUUGGGUUUCCUCGGGCCUGCAGUCUUCUACACAGCCACCCACGUGUCAACACAAGUUCUGCAGACCUCUGACAGGGGGUCAGCAUAGACCCUGCGGCUCCUCUUCAUGCUGCGCUCCGUCCUCUGUGCUCUGCCCGCUGAGGCUUGUCCCGAGCUGUGACUCUUGGAAGACCAUCACCGAAGGGCAGCUGCUUCCUCAACCUCACCCAGGCCUCCUCCUCCUGAAAACAGUCCCGCGAGCUCACACAGACCUGUUCACUGGUGCACAGACGGACACUGGGAGGCCGCUGCACCCUCUCGUUCAAGUCCACACGCACCUCACUGCAUUUCUUUGCUUUCAGGUUACUGGUGUGGAGCGGAAGACGAGGGAGCGCCGGAGCAGAGCGUUUCUGUGGAAAUGUCACAGGUCAGGAUUCCCAGAGCAGCUCCCUCUCCCCAGAAAGCCCAGCCCCACGAGAUGUUUGUCUUGGUCUUGAAGGACAUGUUGUGCUUCGCUGAGGACAAGGGGACAGAGUCCAGGCAGAAAGCACACACUUGGGACAUGGUGGAGAUUCCUUCAGUAUAAACCCUCACCAGCUGGGUUCCAGUACAGGCAGAUGGUUCAGGAGGGCUGCGGAUAGGGCCUUGUUUAUGAAGGGCUGCAGAUCCCGUGUGCACAAAGUCCUUUACUUCUGGGGAGAUGGGCAACUAUUUCCUGGUCUGUUCAGGCCUCCUCCACACCAGGUCACAUAGAGCAGGAAAGGCCACACAGCGCCACCUAGUGUGGGAAAGCCGGUCACAGUGAAAAAAAAUCGUUAGAAGUACAAUAAACGCAGGAAGCCUAGAGCUGUUAACGCUAUC
This 2925-nucleotide long non-coding RNA is filed under the name Oryctolagus cuniculus (rabbit). RNAcentral's name for it is "lncRNA (ENSOCUG00000033079.1)". The record is from RNAcentral. Lineage: Eukaryota; Metazoa; Chordata; Mammalia; Lagomorpha; Leporidae.